GUGGGGAAUAUUGGACAAUGGGCGCAAGCCUGAUCCAGCCAUGCCGCGUGAGUGAUGAAGGCCCUAGGGUUGUAAAGCUCUUUCAGUGGGACGAUAAUGACGGUACCCACAGAAGAAGCCCCGGCUAACUUCGUGCCAGCAGCCGCGGCAAUACGAAGGGGGCUAGCGUUGUUCGGAUUUACUGGGCGUAAAGCGCACGUAGGCGGAUCGUUAAGUCGAGGGUGAAAUCCUGGAGCUCAACUCCAGAACUGCCUUCGAUACUGGCGAUCUUGAGUCCGGAAGAGGUGAGUGGAACUCCUAGUGUAGAGGUGGAAUUCGUAGAUAUUAGGAAGAACACCAGUGGCGAAGGCGGCUCACUGGUCCGGUACUGACGCUGAGGUGCGAAAGCGUGGGGAGCAAACAGGAUUAGAAACCCCAGUAGUCC
This 424-nucleotide ribosomal RNA is filed under the name uncultured bacterium. RNAcentral describes it as "partial 16S ribosomal RNA". It matches the Rfam family "Bacterial small subunit ribosomal RNA", at positions 354 to 796 of the family's 1533-position model. The record is from RNAcentral.